RNAcentral lists this long non-coding RNA (204 nucleotides) under Carica papaya (papaya). RNAcentral describes it as "long non-coding RNA (CPAP_LNC013992)". The record is from RNAcentral. Lineage: Eukaryota; Viridiplantae; Streptophyta; Magnoliopsida; Brassicales; Caricaceae.
UAUCCCACUGCCACAGGAGCAAUGGUUGGUAGAAAAUAAAAACGACCAAUGGAGUAUAAUUUAUAACAAACUCAUUUAUCAAUAAUAAAAACCUUUACUGUCCACUUACCUCAGUGAGAUUCAUAAAGACAAUUUAUGAAACACAAUAACAUCAUAAACAUCAUAAAAUCAUGCAAACUCUGUAACAUAACACAUAUCAUACUC